Molecule: transfer RNA, 77 nt
Filed under: Rhamnusium bicolor
Lineage: Eukaryota; Metazoa; Arthropoda; Insecta; Coleoptera; Cerambycidae
Description: tRNA-OTHER
Source: RNAcentral
GCUUCGUGGUCCAGUGGUAAGGACACUUGCCUCUCAUCCUGGAGUCCCAGGUUCGAUCCAUGAACGAGGAGUGAGCA